Long non-coding RNA from Nothoprocta perdicaria, 1299 nucleotides. RefSeq lists it as uncharacterized. The record is from RefSeq and is a predicted model, not a curated record. The transcript has 7 exons. Lineage: Eukaryota; Metazoa; Chordata; Aves; Tinamiformes; Tinamidae.
AGUAAGAGAGAUAGAAGUUCAGGGAUGAUGGGGAGUGGUGAGACUGAUCCGGAGCUGCUUAGCUUUUCUUCUGUGCUGUUCUCUUGCAAAGCUACUCUGAAGCUUCAGCCGACACAGAAAUCAUCUCCUGCCUGCUUGGAAUAAGAUCAUGUGCAUCAGAUAUUUCAGGGACUGCAGGAACAAAAGCAAGUUGGAGCAAGCAAUAGAGCUGAAACUCUUGGAAGAACCUGCUCUUCUCUGGAGUUCUUGACAGAUCUCUGCAGCAGCACUGCUCCCAAUUGGGGGAAAAGGCAUUUUGUAGAUACUGCAUAAAGGAGGAUCAGAGCAUCAUAGGAAUUACUUCUGACACAGCGAAGAGCAAUAUCCAUUGAAGUUUAUCAACUCCUCUUGAAGAAGAUACACCUUUCCCUGGAUGUUAAGUGUGUUUAAUAAAAGGAUUGCUUCAGGAGGUGUCCUGGCUGAACAGAUGACCACCCCACUCUGAGCGUUGCUGUUCUGCUACCUGAGGACAGUGGUGACUUAAAUGCACUGUUGGAGCUGCCUAUGCGGUCACUAAUUCAUAUCAGUUUACUGAGAUCUCUUGGUGCCUAGCUCAUCAAUAUCUCAUCACUUGAAGAGCAAGAGAAAGAAGAAGCUUUUUUUUAUCUUGGUGUGACCCUUCAGAUGAGAUCAUCUGAGAUCCCUCUCACUUGCACCCCAUUUUGAGUGUGAGCUGCUGCUCAGAAAAAUUGUUUUUUUUCCCCUCCUCAUUUUAUUACUUGCAAACUUACAAAGUUUUGAUGCUUGUCUAGUUCAAAUAUUCUUCUCAAAUCUAGUUAAUUUUACUACUUAUGUGGUUUUAGUGAGAUUUCAUAGUAGAUUUCAUAGUUCAAUAAACUUCACUCAACAUACAUAUUGUCAUACUGAAUUUGGUUAAAAAAAGGGAAUCUAACUUUGUGCAACUCAUAUGCUUUAUUUAUCCAUACGAGUUUACCUACAUGGUUAAUUCCAUUAAAUUCUUAUGUUGUAGGCAUUUUAAGAUUGAGGAUGAGUCCAUCAGUAGGAGUACCUGAGUGUUUUUCCGUCCUUGUUUAUGUUCCUCAAUUAAAUAAGACUAUUCUAAUAUGCUGGAAAACUUGAGCUAUCUUAGAAGUUUAUCUAAAAAUACUUUAUGAGACAGGAAUUUACCUUGCAGACUUCAUUUUUAUAAGUUAAUUCAUUUGAAGAAAUUACUGUGAUUUGAAGAAUAUGUGUGUAGAUCUGAGAGCAUCUGUAUUGCAUACAAAUAGAAAAAAUACCAAUAGAAAUAUAAGACUAAAA